UGACACUCGAUAGGAUACGGGG
Molecule: microRNA, 22 nt
Filed under: Macacine gammaherpesvirus 4 (Rhesus lymphocryptovirus)
Lineage: Duplodnaviria; Heunggongvirae; Peploviricota; Herviviricetes; Herpesvirales; Orthoherpesviridae
Description: rlcv-miR-rL1-11-3p
Gene: rlcv-miR-rL1-11-3p
Source: miRBase by way of RNAcentral